GCUUGUUAAUGGAAUAAGACAUUCUGAUGAUGCAAUUCUUAUUGGAAUUUGAGUGACAUUGUGUCCGGAAUUGGUGGGUUCUUGGUCUCACUGACUUCAAGAAUGAAGCCACAGAUCCUCGCGCUACUGUGCUGUGAAGUAGAAGCGACUGUGGAAAAUCCUUGUGGAAAGGCACGAGACACCUUGUGGUAUCUAAGGUACCAAGAUACCUGGCCAAUAGCCUCAGCUGAGCGCCACCUUGCCAGCCAUAAGGUGACUAUGAUAUCGAGAAAUGCAGGAGUUCAUCCAGGGGAUUGUGGAGUAAAAGGGGAGGACAUAAUGAGAGAGGACG
Molecule: long non-coding RNA, 331 nt
Organism: Gorilla gorilla gorilla (western lowland gorilla)
Lineage: Eukaryota; Metazoa; Chordata; Mammalia; Primates; Hominidae
Exons: 3
Source: RefSeq, a predicted model, not a curated record